Non-coding RNA from Pelobates cultripes (western spadefoot toad), 208 nucleotides. The record is from the annotation of a GenBank genome assembly. Lineage: Eukaryota; Metazoa; Chordata; Amphibia; Anura; Pelobatidae.
GCACACCUCCCUUCCCAGUACUAAACCUUUAUUAUCCUCUUAUCCCAUUAAGAGAGUACUUAAGGGUUUUCAGACAUUUAACUUCACUCAAACCCCAAAACAACUACUUAUUGAUAGUUUCAAGUUACAAGCAAUCUCAGACUAACUGGACACGACCCCCUUCGAACAACAUACUAAUGUUGUCAUCAAAGCAGCUACAAAGUUUUUA